CCUGGUCCACGCGGUCCAGCCCAGCAUCCCGGAGGUGAUAGCUGUGAUGGCGGUGAGACUGGCGGCCAGCACGAAGCCUUGACCCUUCUGCUGAAACACGCAUGCUCCUGAAGGACAAGACCUGCCACUUGGAAGAGUCUAGAAUGCCCGGGGCCUGCAGCCUGAUGCUCUGAACAGCCUUUGCACCUUGGGCGCCACCUGCCCCAUCCCAGUGCCCAUGAACUCACCGGCCCACAGCUCCCAGUACAGCUGCAGCUUGGCACUGGCCAUGUGCGCGCCCCAGGUGGUGGCCCCCUGGCAGGUGUAGGUGAGCAGGUCUGGCCUGGACUUGAGCGUGACGUUGACGCUGAAGGAGGCCGGGUCGCGGGUGUUCACCACCUUCUUGGCCACUUGAAUGUUCUGGCUCCCCCAGAGGGAGUAGGUGAUGGGCGGGGGCACACUGGGUGAGUGGCAGGUUAUCAGCACUCGCCGCCCUCGGGGGAAGACCUCCAGGACUCUGUAGGCAAUGGAGACCUCGGGGAGGACUUCUGGGAGGUGACACAGAGGGGGAGGGACGAAACCCAACAUUUAUCAAGCACGGUAAGAAAAGGCUGGUGCGACGGUUUUUCAAAAACUUAAACAAGGCAUCACCGUGACCCAGCCCUCCCAGGCCUAAAUAUUCGCCGACAGAACUGAAAACAGGGCCUGGAACAGGCGCAUGCGCGCACGUGUGCCCAGCAGCACGGCUCACAGCCGCCAGGCGGUGGCGGCUGCUUCCAGGUCCUGGUCCACCCGCGGAUGGACGCGUACACAAAGAACGGCUCAUGCGCACAAGGGCACGGCGCUUGCAGCGAAAAAGAGAGGAGGGCAGACACCCUUGCAAUCUGGAGGAACCUGGAGGACGUGAUGCUAGUGACGGGAGGCACAAAAGGUGACAUACUGUAUGAUCGAUUGCAUUGGUGUGAAAUGUCCGGAGUGGGAAAAUCCAGAGCAGAAGGCGGAGGCGGUCGGUGGGGUUGGGGGCGGGGCGGGCUGGGGAACAACUGCCGAGCUGUCCGGUUUCCUUGUGCGGCGAUGGGAGUGUUUGGACCUGCGCAGAGGGGUAGCUGCUCGGUGCUGUGAACGCACUAAACGUCGCUGAAUUAUCAGUUUAAAAUGCCCAAAUUUGUCACGUGAAUUUCGCCUCAAUUAAAAAAAAGAAAAAGAAACCAGAGGUUUUACUAUAAAGGUGAAAUGGAAUCAGACCCGGAGUAGGAAGCCUGGAGGGGCGGGGAGCACGGGUUCGGAGGGCUGACCCUGGACCCCCGUCCCGUCGGGCCUGCGCUGCCGGACCUGUGCGUCCCUCCGGCCGGUCACUGUGCCCCGGCCCAUGGUAGGAGACCAGAGAUUUACCACUUGUCACUGCACGAUUCACUUCGACGACAAGGUGGUCGCGGUCCAGGGAAUGUCCAAGACAGAGGGAAAGGGAGGAGAGAGAAACGCCGGUGGGAGAAAGAUCGCCCCUGGGACUCUCGCACACCCCAACUGGGAACGGAACUGGAAACCCAGACGUGCUCCCUGACCGGAAAUCGAACCAGCAACCUUUCACUUCCUGGGAUGACGCCCAGCCCGCUGCGCCACGCUGGUCAGGGCGGGGAGGGGCAUAUUCAUAAUGGUACGUUUUCAAGACUAGUGCAGGGGCAGCGCUUGGGCGGGGUGGAGGGAAGUGUCCUGCGUCACAGCCUCAUGCGCCCUCUGCGCCUGCUGGGCGCACUGGCUUUAGAAGCGCCCUGCGGUCAGCACGCUGCUCUCCGAGGACCGCACUGGAGCUGGAGUGCAGCGGUCUCCUGGGGCGUGUCCCUGGGACCCCACGUUUCCCAGCACUGACCC
Long non-coding RNA from Artibeus jamaicensis (Jamaican fruit-eating bat), 1848 nucleotides. RefSeq lists it as uncharacterized. The record is from RefSeq and is a predicted model, not a curated record. The transcript has 4 exons. Lineage: Eukaryota; Metazoa; Chordata; Mammalia; Chiroptera; Phyllostomidae.